GAUGAACGCUGGCGGCGUGCCUAAUACAUGCAAGUCGAGCGAAUGGAUUGAGAGCUUGCUCUUAUGAAGUUAGCGGCGGACGGGUGAGUAACACGUGGGUAACCUGCCCAUAAGACUGGGAUAACUCCGGGAAACCGGGGCUAAUACCGGAUAACAUUUUGACCCGCAUGGUUCGAAAUUGAAAGGCGGCUUCGGCUGUCACUUAUGGAUGGACCCGCGUCGCAUUAGCUAGUUGGUGAGGUAACGGCUCACCAAGGCAACGAUGCGUAGCCGACCUGAGAGGGUGAUCGGCCACACUGGGACUGAGACACGGCCCAGACUCCUACGGGAGGCAGCAGUAGGGAAUCUUCCGCAAUGGACGAAGGUCUGACGGAGCAACGCCGCGUGAGUGAUGAAGGCUUUCGGGUCGUAAAACUCUGUUGUUAGGGAAGAACAAGUGCUAGUUGAAUAAGCUGGCACCUUGACGGUACCUAACCAGAAAGCCACGGCUAACUACGUGCCAGCAGCCGCCGUAA
RNAcentral lists this ribosomal RNA (515 nucleotides) under uncultured bacterium. RNAcentral's name for it is "partial 16S ribosomal RNA". It matches the Rfam family "Bacterial small subunit ribosomal RNA", at positions 28 to 523 of the family's 1533-position model. The record is from RNAcentral.